UCAAAUGCCAUUCAUCUGCAACCUUUCUUGCUUUCCAUCCUCAGGAUAACAAUAUCAUUGCUAUAGGCAUGGAUGAUUUUUCAAUUUAGAUAUAUAAUGUCCGUGUAGAUGAGGUUAAAAGUAAACUCAAAGGCCACACUAAAAGAAUCACAGGUCUUGCUUUCUCUCAUGUAUUGAAUGUCCUAGUUUCUUCUGGGGCAGAUGCUCAGGUAAUAGUCGUUCUGUGUAGAUUUGCCUCCACAAUCUGUUGAUUAAUUUUGCCUCCAGAAUCUGUUAAUGCCUUGUUUGAUGGAUGUUUUAUCUAAGUUUGCAAGACAUUCCUUUCCUUGCAUUAUUAAUUUGUUUUAGUUAUAAUUUUGGAAAUACAGAACAUUUUAUAGGUACAAAUUUCAUGUAGAAUUGUUUAAUUUAUAAUCGUUAUUCAUUCUCUAUUGGAAGCAAGCAACUUGAUACUCUGCUUUGAAGUCCUUCAAAGUCCACAAUAGUUAUAUAUGUGCUGCAAGAGACUUAUGUGAAGAUAAUUGAGUGAAGAUAUUCCAAAUUGUUUCGGUAACAGCUUUUCAGGCUGCCUUGAGCUUCCAAUUCUAAGCUUUUGAGUUUCAUUGUUUUCACUCUAAAAUGUCUGUUGAAUUUAGAAGUUAAUUAUCAUUGACAAACAUUGGAUUGAAGUAAAUUAUCAUUCUGUAUUAUCUGUGUAUUGUGUUUCAUCAAAAAGAAAGUUUUGAUGAAAGCAACAAUGCACCAAUUAGAAUGCAGCAAGGAGUCUCCCAAUGACGAGGAUUGAAUACAGCAAGAAUGCAACAUUACAGCCUUCUAUAAGUAGUUGAAGCUCUGAAGAAG
Arachis ipaensis is the source of this 840-nucleotide non-coding RNA. Lineage: Eukaryota; Viridiplantae; Streptophyta; Magnoliopsida; Fabales; Fabaceae. The record is from RefSeq and is a predicted model, not a curated record.